RNAcentral lists this ribosomal RNA (460 nucleotides) under uncultured bacterium. RNAcentral describes it as "partial 16S ribosomal RNA". It matches the Rfam family "Bacterial small subunit ribosomal RNA", at positions 338 to 795 of the family's 1533-position model. The record is from RNAcentral.
ACUACGGGUGGCAGCAGUGAGGAAUAUUGGUCAAUGGACGAGAGUCUGAACCAGCCAAGUAGCGUGAAGGAUGACUGCCCUAUGGGUUGUAAACUUCUUUUAUAUGGGAAUAAAAUGUUCCACGUGUGGGAUUUUGUAUGUACCAUAUGAAUAAGGAUCGGCUAACUCCGUGCCAGCAGCCGCGGUAAUACGGAGGAUCCGAGCGUUAUCCGGAUUUAUUUGGUUUAAAGGGAGCGUAGGUGGAUUGUUAAGUCAGUUGUGAAAGUUUGCGGCUCAACCGUAAAAUUGCAGUUGAAACUGGCAGUCUUGAGUACAGUAGAGGUGGGCGGAAUUCGUGGUGUAGCGGUGAAAUGCUUAGAUAGCACGAAGAACUCCGAUUGCGAAGGCAGCUCACUGGACUGCAACUGACACUGAGGCUCGAAAGUGUGGGUAUCAAACAGGAUUAGAUACCCCAGUAGUC